Callithrix jacchus (white-tufted-ear marmoset) is the source of this 15298-nucleotide non-coding RNA. NCBI's taxonomy places the organism in Eukaryota, Metazoa, Chordata, Mammalia, Primates, Cebidae. The record is from RefSeq and is a predicted model, not a curated record.
CCAAUCAUCAACUGCGCUCCAGCCGAAGGGGGGGUGUUUGCGGGAAACGCGGUUUCCAGAGUUCCUUUCCUAGUCUUGGCCCAGCGUUAGAAUCUUCUGUUUAGUUCUUUGCGGAGCAUUUUCUCUUAACAAGCCUGAGGGAUAAGUCAGUUUUCUGAAAACUAUAACACUCAUACAGAACUUCUUCAAUGAUAAAUGAGAUACCCAAACACCAAAGAUACUGAUGUUAGAAAGCAGUUCAUGAAAAUAAAUUGGAAUUGCAUGGAAUAAACUGCAUGGAACCCAUUCCAAAAGUUAAAACUCAACAACUGAGAAUUUAUUUUGUUUCCUGUGACCAAAGAAGAUGAGAAGCAAAUGAUCCAUCUUUAAAGGGCUGUAACAUUUGAAGUGAGCAGCUGGGACUAUAUCCUCCUUGCACUUUGUUCAUACAUAAGGAGAAAUGAAAAUUCUGAAAAGACAUCUGUAUUGUAAAUCAAAAUACAUUGCUGAAAUCAAUGUUGAGUUGACAUUCUGCUUGCAAAUAUUCUUUUGAGAUUGGUUCUUGUAAAUCUCUUUCCCAUCUGGUUUUUAUGUCUGCUCUGGGACUUGUAUGCACAGAGUUGUCUAGGAUCUGCUCAGAAUGUUGAUAUAAAGUAUGUGGUUUUUAAUAAAAGGUUAGCUGGGAGGGGAAGACACUGUCUUGGUCACAUCUAAAUUGCUUAUAUAUCUUGUAGCUCAGUUAAAGUUUUAGAAACUUUGGGAAGUGUUUUCUUGCAACAAGAAAACUUAUUUGAAGCCAUGAAAUAAUUGUAUCCUUCAACUUAUAUUUUUGUAGAGAACAUUUGCUGGAAGGAUAAUUUUUAUUUUUAAACACAGGAAGAGUGAGUAGCAGAGAAGAGUUUGUGAUUGCAAUUUCCUCUCUUGCCAUAAUUGCACUAUUUCCAUUAAAUUAAUGAUGGAGAGAAACAAUUGUUUAUAUAUAAAGUUUUUUUUCCUUAUUGAAAGUUAGUUAAUUUGGGAAUGUUGAUCUCUUCUAAAUGGCAAAUUUAACGAUGACAAAGAAAAAAAUUCAAUCUGAGAUGUCAUGAUAAAUAAGCCCAUGAUUAUAACUUAACAUCUGGAAUUGAUAUUCCUCCUUGAGUUUUAUGAGAGAAUGGUGCUCUGAAUGAACUUUUGCAAGUGAGAACACAAUCAUCACCAUCAUCACAUAAUGUUUACUCAAUUCUAGUCUCCAGUUACAGGUCAGUGGUUAAUCUCUACGCAGCAACCAAUUGUGGAUUCAUAUAAAGACAGAAAAGACAUAUUUGACUCCUUAGAACCAGAAAUUGGCCUCUGCUCCCAUCAUCUAAGGUGUGUGUGGAGUGGGGUUGGGGGAGAGGGGAUUCCAGAAGCAUAUGGGAAGAAGAGAAAGCACUUAAGAAGCCCUGGAUGACUCUGAAUCACCUCUUCACUGAGGAAGUAGCUAAACAAGUCUUCUGGAGCCAGAAGCUUUCUCUCCAGUAGUGGGGAUAAGUCUACUGACUCUAAUUUGGUAAUUUGUUUGUUUGUUCUUUUUGACACAAGCAGUACAGAGCAAAAAAUCAUGGAAGGAAUGAAGGGAAUUAAAAAUGUUUUCCUAUGGUCCUUUGGAGACCACAGUUGUACCCAUUGGAGAAAUAAGGAAUAUUAAGUCAAUCUUGCCAUCUUCCUCCUUCCAGUGGAGUCCCCUCUUACUUGGAUUUAACCUGCAACCCCCCUACCCAAGUCCUCAUAGCAACAAACAGAUUGACAGAUCUACUCUCAUAUAUUAAAUUUGUAGAGACUUACUUUUAAAACAGAAGGGGCAAAGCAUUUGGGAAAGUGGAAUAUUUAAAAAUUUUCCCCUAAUCUCUCAUUUAUCACAAGGGAUUUCAUAAUUAUCUUAAAAACAAGGUGACUUUCAUCCUUGACAUCUGGAUUUAGCAUUCUUUCUUUCUUUAAUGUAGAUCAGUCACUCUCUAAUUUUGAUAUUUAUAAGAAAGAGAUAUUCUCAAGAAAAAUUUUGUCUGCAUAUGCUUUUUAGUUUUUCUGCUGACUUAAAACUCUCACCUUUGCUUAAACUGUAACUCCUCUAAUUGAGUUUUUCCAGGUCUCUAUAUUCCAGAGGCAGUUCAGCAGGAGAGCUAGUCCAUGUUAGUCUUCAGGAGGGGUUUUCUGGCUGAUAGCCCAUGUGAGGCCAGGCUCCUGGGUAUCCUCAGAGUAUGCUUUCCUUUGUUUAUUAUGUGUGCAUGACUAAUAUUCGAAGCUCAAGAGUAAGCCCAGAAUUCAGUUGGUACACCAUUCAUAAGAUCAAGAAAACAAUAUUAUCACAUCCACCACAUUCCUUACAAUCAGGUUAUUGAAAUGUCAAUUGCAUUUAGACUCUGUAAAGCAUAUCAGUUAGAUUACAUAUGCUUACAAUUGGGAUUCCCCGAUAUUACAUAAUUUCAAGUUAAAUGGAUAAUGUGAGUCUUUCCUUCCUAUUUUUAAACUUCAUCCAAAUCUAGACAUCUUGUUAAGUAAAUGUGUUCCCUUGUGGUUACUGCUGCAUUCUAACUCCCCCUUACUAGUUUGUCAGUCUAUUUUUAACUGUGGACAUUAUUUUAUCUGGCCCUUCUUUAAUGCUCCCAUCCACCACUUCACUUGGAGCUUUCUUUAACUUUCUGUUGCCCGUCAUUAUAAAGUAAUCUGCUCGCUGCCCAACAAUCUGUAACUAAAUAUGGUGACGCUUACUGUUAAGUGAAAUAGUUUCUUUUCUGCCUUUUUUUUUUUGAGACAGAAUCUUACUCUGUUGCCAAGGCCAUAGUACAAUGGCAUCAUAAUAGCCCACUGUAGCCUCAGACUUCUGGGCUCAGGCAAUAUUCCCACUUCAGACUCCUGAGUAGAUGGGACUACAAGUGCAUGCCCGUGUACCCAGCUAAUUUUUAUUUUUUGUAGAGAUGGGGAUCAUGUCUUAUUAUCCAAGUUGUUCUCAAAUUCCUGGCUCCAAGUGAUCCUCCUGCCUCAGCCUCCCAAAGUGUUGGAAUUACAGGGAAGCUAAUAUCAUGAAAUUGUGAAGGCCUGGGAUCUUCAAAGAGCCAAGGAUUCUGCCAGACUGAGCAAUAGACAUGAUGAGCAUUCUCCACUUAAGAUCUGAACUUUGAGAAGUAGAAUCAAAGCGAUUCUUUUGUAAUUCCAAACAGCCAUUUCGGCAUAUGAAGAAACAAAAGUAACAUAAAUCUAAAGACUAGGAAGAGGGUCAAUGAAAGGUGCUCCCAAUGGAAACAAAAAAAUCCUUAAAAGUGGAAGAAGGUGGUAGGAAAGGUUAGAGUGAUACCAGGAGAACUCAAUCGACCACUACUAGCUUUGAAGCUGGAAGAAUGCGGCUUUGAGUCCUGGAGUGUGGACGGCCUGCAGAAGGAAGCAGGGGUUCCACACUGGCACCUCUAGAAAAUAAUGGAGCCCAGCGAGAGUCAAGUUGGACUUCUGACCUACGAAAGAGUAAAUAUCUAAAUUAUCUGCGGCAACAACUUGGUGAGGUCAACUCGAAUACUUUUGUCGGCUGUUCCUGAAGAUUUCUGGGUCUCUACAACCACAUUCUUUGGCUGUUGCUGGUGUUUAAGCACUCCGAAACUGUAUAGCAGAAUGUUUGGAGGUGGCGUGUCAAAUUUGGAAAGCUGACAGUGUGACUGAGCUAGUCAUGGGGAUCUUCACAGAAAAGGCAGUCUGGGUCCUGGUCCACUGGAGAUUCCAACUGUAUGCCCAUAUAGAACCAACUGUGUUCCAUUUAUCAAGCAAGGCGGGCAUGUGAGACUUGGAACAGCAAGUAGACUCCAUGCUUCACUGCAGCUCCAAUCAUCUGGAAGCAAAUAUCUAGACAUUUUGUGAGAAUUGUUCCUCUAAGCUCAGCAAGAACAAGUGCCUCUAUUGAUUAGCAGUGUUUACCACAUACAUGGAAUUCCUGGCCAGAACUACAGCCAUAGAACUACAGCUGGUGUGAGAGAAAGACAACGAAAAGAUAAAAAUACACCUUGGUAGCUGCUGGAUCGAGGCAAAUGAGAGACAGAUGGAGCUCAUCUAGAUCCAACUCUACAGCUUGAAGCUAAGCCUAACUUAGCCAAGUCUAGACCAAUUUGACUCUGGCCAAUUCAUAGAUGUUUGAGCCAGAGGUAAUGUGCUUGUUGCUGGAAUCCAGUUAAACUUUGAAGUCUUUUUGAAAAAUAUGUUGUCAUUGCAGACAUAGCUGCACAUAAUUUUCCACACUGUGGGAGGUCAAGUUAAGCAUGCUUAGACUUUAGAGUAGAAUCCCCUUAUUAGUGUGGUGGCAAAAAUGUUACAAGUGGCAUAGCCCUCCAGUUUCCUUCUCCUAGCCCUCUGCCUAAGAACUAGAGUACUUAGUUUUGAAGUGGAGCCCUAAUGGGAGUGUUCAUCUCUCACCAGGGUUAAGCCUCUUGGCCCUUACUGAGCACUCAGAGUUAUUAGUUCCCUGGAAGAUAUGAAAGAGCUUCUCUGGCUCUGGAGUUCUCAGUCAAUAACCAACUGUAACAGACCUACCCUUCCAACAAAAUCUUGAUUCAGGAAAUUGACUGUCUGCUUAUAGUUAAUGCUCUAUUUUUUUAUAUCUAAUAGGAGAAACAUUUUCAAAAGAGCCAUGACCUGACUCAGUUAAUGUGCAAGGAAAAGCAAGCAGUUCCAGACUUGUCAGUUUAUCCAUUAUCCCUUAUCCAAAAUCUUCCAACUCUCUUGGAAUUAUUUUGUUCUUCAUAGUUACCCAACAAAUAUCUUACUCUUGUUUUGGACCUUCUUUUGUAGUUAUUUCACAUAAGCUCCUUUUGACUAAGGGCACAUAUUUGGAAUCAGACUACCCAAGUUCAACUCUUGAGUCUACCAUUUAUUAGCUUGUAUUAUUUUGGGCAAGAUAAUUAAAUUCUCCAGGUCUAAGUUCCCCCAUUAUAACAUAAUAAUAGUUAUUAUCUGCUAGGGUUGUCUUAAGAAUUAAAUGAGAUAAUUCAUAAGAACCCUUUAACACAGUGCCAGCCACCUAAUGAAGGCAUAGUAAGGGAAAAGUAUUAUGCUGUUGAUAAUACUUGUCUAGGCAGGGCUCUUGUAUUUUUCUCUGUAUCCCUUACUGUGCAAUUCUUCUGUCCCAUAACAUUCUAAGAUUGUUUUAGAGUGAGUUGCUUCAGAGUUGAAUAGUUAUAAUGGUAUAUUCUCAUGUUUAGAAAUAACUUCGAAUUCCAUUUAGGGUAGACAUUGACAAUGAAAUCUCUAUGAGUAAUUUCUGCAAUUUUUUAUUCGUUAUGGAGAGACAAAAUGGGUAUAAUGGUGAGAAUUGUUGGGUAGGAGGUCAGGAAAGAGAUCGAGUAUAAAUGCUCACUAUGCUGAGUAAUAAUGGUAAUGAAUAAUGGUAUGAUCUUAAGAAAUCUAAUAUUUAGUUUUUCCCACCUUAAAGACAAAGUUGUUAUAAGUAUUUAAUAAUGGAGGGUAGUAUAUAAACUUCCUGGCAUAUAGCAGCUGCUCAAUAAAUAGAAGUUACAGUUUUUUCUAAACUUGCUAAAGAGCCAAGGGAAAAAUAAAGAUUUUGCAGGCAAAGCCAUUUCUUUUUCUCUGUUAUGUGCCUAUCUGUUUCAGAAACAGAAUUAAUUCCCUAAACUUCAUCAAAGGAAGGAUUUGAACAUUAAAAAAAAAUCAAUCUCUUUGGGUUUGUUAUUGCUUGUUUCACAUACCUCAGAGGCAUUAAUACAAACCUUUAUAAUGUCAUCAGAAAGAAGAUAAGUCAAACACUACUUAACUCAAUAAUUGCAAGGUUAUUAUUUUGCAAGGAAUAGAGUUAAAAUUCCAUUGACAUGAGGACUGUAACUUUUUCAUUACUCCUUAAGGCAAAAUGUCCUUGAUGUCAGUAGCUCAUGUAGAAACCAGUUACAAGUCCUUAGCAGAGACACUGUACUGGAAAUACUGGAUCUACUAAAGGGUUUGAGCUUCCCCACCCACUUCCUUUAGAGUGACAAUUCACACCUAUAAAAACACAGAAGUACAGGGGUUUGUUAAACACUAAAAGACCCAAAGAGCCAAGACUUCUGCCUGUAAAAGUGGUGCUUCCUAAGGGGAAGACGUGGAAUUUCUCAGAGAAUACAGCCUUUCUUGACCAAGGGACUGUACAAUGAAGAUUAGGAGGUAACUACUGGGGUAAAAGAGGGAUGGUUGCAUCUUUCUGGAACACUCUAAUAAAACUGUAAGUUUUACUAACUUCUUCUUUCAUAUGAUAAAAGCAUCAAAUUGUAUACUUAAAGUCAUAAUAUCCUGCAUGUACUGCUCAGGAACACCUAUUUAGUCCCACUACAAAACUUGAAGAAAAGGUCUCCUCUCCUAAUGCUGUACCAGUCCUCUCCUCGUGGAUGACUUGGGAAAGAAAUUCCACAAGUAUAAGACGGUAAGAGGCCAAUUUCUUUAUUCCUCUCCUCUUCAUUUGUCCUCCCACCUCAAUUGCUUUGGGAGAAUAACACAGUCUGGAACAGAAAAAAAGGAGCCUUGUUGUACUUCAUUUGCCUGAAGAGGUCUCUUCUAUUAAAUAGAUCCAUUACGUUACUCUCAGAAAAUUAUAGUCAUAAUUAUUUCAAGUUUUAGCCCUGAAUAUAUAAGGGCUCUAUUGCUUGAUCUCUGUGCGCUUAUCUUGGUGUGGCAAAGCUCAGUAAGGCUAUCUUGAAAGUAGCCUGAAAUCAACUGGUCAGAUGCUACCGGCAGGAGGAGGCCACCAGGGGGAUCAAGGACAUGGGUGACACAGUGAGUGUAAUUAUUAGUCAAGAUAGGCUAGGUUAGGCGUUAGUGGCAAAUUAUCUCAGUGGCUUAGUACAAUAAAGGCUUAUUGCUUAUUCAUGUGGCAUGUCUACUGCAGGUCCACAAGCCCUCUGUUCUACUCACAGAUCCAGAUUUUAACAUUCUUUGCCAUCUCACAGCUAAUGAUCUAAACAUCAGCAGAAGGAAGGUGUCUUGGGUCAGGCUCACUAGAAAACAGGUCAAGAUAAAGAUUUCUGUGCAGAAAAGUUUUUAGAGAGGGAACUCUGAUUGACAUCUGCCAGGGAGAGAGCAAAAAUGACUGAGCAGACAACUGUUGAACUGUUAUUACUAGUAACAACAAAGGUCUCGGCCAACCCAACAGGGAGUGCUGGAGUUAAAAAUGGUUCUCCACAGGUGUCUCACCUUAAGGCAAGGGACUGGGCCUUUAUUAUCCCUUAUCAACCAGUCCUUUGAUUGGCUUGACCCCAGAGAGAGGUUAUAACCUUGAGUAAAGUGUGUCUGUCUACUGAGGAUAAUUCCAGGAGAGCAACUAAGCUGAGAGCUGUCACCAAUGGGAGGAAUCAGAGGCUCAGUCCUGAAGAGCAGGUCUGGGCAGCAUGAAAUAGCAUCCACUACAAGGGGGAAAGUGCAUGCACUUUUCACUGCCUCCUCUUGGGAGAGAGACAUGCCAUUUUCUGCUCUCAUUUCAAUGACCAAAAGGAGUCACAUGAUUCUAUCUAAUUAAAAGGAAUCUGGGAAGUGUGGGAAAGUAACUGGAAUAUUUGGGAAGGAUCAUUAUUUCUGCCACAAUGGAGAAGAGAUGUCCCUUUGGAGCUACUCAUUUCUGUUUCAGUGGCGUAAUGUCUUUUAGUCAUGGUCAUGAUACAGGUUCUAUUUUGCACUUGGCAUCCAAUGAGUCUGGUUUCUGCCUGCUUUUCCUGAAGACUGCUUAGCCUCCUUUCCUUCCAUCCACAAGAUCAGAUCCUUCUCCCAAGCUCUUGUCCUAGUCUUGUCUAGGCAUCAAGUCAAACUUCCUAGUGCUUUUUUUUCUCUGCUGGAGGUCCAGUUCAAACAAAACCAAAACCAAAAGUAAAACAGGCCGGUUCUCUAGUCCUGACUACACUUCUUAUACCAUAGUUUCUCCCACACUAAGGCUUUUCUCCAUCAGUCCUCUCUGUUAAGCAGAGUACUGAACUCUACAUUAUUCUAGUAGGUCCUGUUACAUGACAUUCACUUCUUUUCAAAUUGUCUACUCUUAUCCUUCACGUUAUCAUGAUCAAUAUCCUUAUCUGGACAACCGCCAGCUGCCUUUUGUUCGAUCUUCUAGACUGUUCUCUCUAACCACCCAGCUGGUUGAAUUUCUGGUACCUGAAAACCCUGAGGCACUGGGACUAAGCCAAGACCACUAAACUGAGAUAAAAAGAAAGAAAUACCUUCUCAACCUUAAAAUUCUUUGAAAGUACAUUUUCUGUGAUCAGCUAUAUUUUUUCUCUUUUAAUCAUUUGGUUCUUUCUUGCUGUCAGUGUACAUACACAUUACUUUUCAUCAUUAGGGAGUCAUCACAUUCUUCAUCUAGACAGUACUCUGUGUUUUAAAGACCUAGACCAAUUAUAAUUAAAGCAAGGUAUGGAUCACUGCAUACAUGGUAUUAGUCUUUGGACACUCAGUAGCUAUUGACCUACUUUAAUAAUUGACUGAGACUAUUGAUUCUUUAAAUAUAACUAUAUGUUUCUAUCUUAGUGGAACCAAUUACAGUUUAUAAGUCUAUUGAAGAAUAGCUGACUUCUCAAAAUUUGACUUAUUCUAUCUCAGGGACUCAGAAGAUAACUAAUGACAGCUAAAUGACUUCUGACCCAUGUCUGACUGAGGCUGGGCUGCUACCUGAGUCCAGCUCCAACAUUCUGUGACAAUUUGCAGUGAAAUAGUACCUAGAGGAGGAGAGAGAGCUUGAGAAAAGCAGAAAAUAAUGAUGAACCAAGCCAUUGUUGUGAAUUGGCAAUUACUGCCUAUUUAAUCCAGACUUCACAGACACAUAUUUUUAUUAUUAGGUGACAAUUUUUGAAAUUGGAAGAUUUUACUUAAAAAUUUGUAUUCCAAGUGUGAACUGAAAAGGCAGACCUGACAAGGCCAAGUCCUCCUUCCUUGUGGCAGUAAUUCAUGGGGGCCAAAUAGUGGAGGGUCCCCUUCAAAAGGACAAGAGGAUGCUCAUUCUCCAGAUCACCAAAGCCCCGCUAUUUCCCUUUGUUAGAGACGGAAUUGCAUUCCUCCAAAAUUCAUAUGUUGAAGUCCUAACCCCAACAUAACUGUAUUUGGAAAUGGAGAUUUUAAAGAGGCAAUUAAGGUUAGAUGAGGCCAUUAGGGUAGGGGCAUAAUACAAUCUGACUAAUGCCCUCACAAAAAAAGGAGGAAGAGACAGUAAGGGUGCUCGCACACAGAGAAAGUCAUGGGAGAACAUAGUGAGAAGACAGCCAGCUGCAAGCCAAGGAGAGGGGCUGCAGGAAAAACCAAACCUGCCCACACUUUGAUCUUGGGCUUCUGACUUCCAGAACUGUCAUAUUUCUAUUGAAGCUCCCCAGUCUGUGGUAUUUUGUCAUGGCAGCCUUGGCAGACUAAUACAUCCACUGUGUCCUCAACAUCUAUCACCAUGCCUGUGCUUUAGGGUUUUUCUCCUAUUCCCUGAUCCUUUCACUCAUUACCUUCCUGAGUGAGUACAGAAUGAAUUUGAGUUUGUCACCCAUGAUAUCACUUUCACCAACAAUAAGCUGCAGAUGACUGCAGUUUAAAAAAAAUGACUUUGAAGGAGUAUAUUAAGGUAGAUAAAAUGAAACCAGAUUAAAUAUUAAGGUGGAAACAGUUUCUACUAAGGUAGAUAUUUUUUACACUAAAGAGAACACCAUGAACAAAAUUUUAGCAGUAAAUUAGUCCAGUCACUGUGGGGAACAGUUUGUAGAUUUCUCAAAGUACUAAGUAUUGAACUACCAUUUGACCCAGCAAUCCCAUUACUGGGUAUAAACCCAAAGGAAAAGAAAUUAUCCUAGCAAGAGGAUGCGUGUACCCCUGUGUUCACUGCAACACUAUUCACAACAGCAAAACUAUGGAAUCAACCCAGGUGCCCAACAAUGGUGGAUUAGAUGUAAAAAAUGUAAUGCAUCUAUACCAUGGCGUACUAUGCAGCCAUAAAAAAGAAUGAAAUCAUAGUCUUUGCAGCAACAUGGAUGCAGCCGGAGGCCAUUAUCCUAAGCAAAUAAAUGCAGAAACAGAAAAAUAAAUCCCAUAUGUUCUCACGAUUGGGAGCUAAACACUGGGUACACAUGGACAUAAAGACAAGGACAAUAGACACUGGGGCCUCCUAGAGGAGGGAGAGAAGGAGGGGCAAGGGCUGCUCACUACAUGGAUGACAGGAUUAGUCAUACUCCAAACCACACCAUUACAUGUUAUACCUUUGUAACAAACCUACACAUAUACCCCCAGUCUAAAAAAUAAUUGAAAAAUAAAAGUUAUGUACCAAAUGUUACCAAGAGUUAUUUCAAGAAAGUGUAAAUCUACAUUGUUUUAAUAUUCAGUUUUGCUUCUAUAUGUUCUACUUUUUUCUAUAAUGACCAUGCAUUAUUUGUAAAAUAGGAGUAAAAAUUAACCUUAAAAAAACAGAUUUAAAAAAAAAAAUUGUACCAAAUGUCGGGUUAAGAAGAAUACAGUGGUUAAGAUCACUGAUUGUGAAGCAAAAAGAAAAGAACAUUCUGAGUUCGCUCCUUGUCUGUGCUCCAGUUUCUUACUCUAAAAUGAAGACAGUGAUGUAAGGAUGCAUACAACAGACACCAAGUGCAGAGUGCAGGGCCUGGAACAAACACAACCAAAGUAAUGAGACAUAUUUGUUCCGCUGGGAUUCUAGGAUACUUUUCGCUACACAUAACAAAAAUCUCAAUUCAAGUUAUCCUAAACAAUAAAUAAUUGACUCAAUUUAACAACUGGGAAUGCAAAAUUAUGGUGUGUUUUGCAGUUGACUUGCCCUGGUAGCCCCAGUUGUCUGUUUUACUGUAGCUGUUUUAGAUCUGUUUCUUACUGUAGAGCCACUCCAUCCUCAGGCGGGUAGCUAAAUGGCUGUUGCAGUGCUGGGCUUCACAAUGUGGAAACACAUAUAUUUUCCUAUACCUGCAUCGUUUUCCAGAAGUACCCACCAACUUAUCUUUAUACCCCAUUGAGUCAAAUGUCCAUGCCAUUUCCUUGUUGUUAGGGAAAUGUCAUGAUCUGACUGGCUUAGCCAUGUGUUCCUAAACCCAUCAUUAUAAAGGAGAAUAGUACAAUGAAGAUUAAAAUAAUCAAAUGUCACUUCUAGAGUUCUGAUUGGUUAGGUUACCCUGAGACACAUGGGCUACUUGGUGGAAGUGUGAGAUAUGUGAACAAAAUAAAGAUCCUUUUACGGCAUAUGAGAAAAGCUGUGUAGACAACCAACAGUGACUACUAUAUGAAUAUUUUCAUUAGUAAAAGAAAGAGAAUUCAGCCUGGGUGCAGUGGCUCAUGCCUGUAAUACCUGCACUUUGGUAGGCUGAGGCGGGCAGAUCACCUGAGGUCAGGAGUUUGAGACCAGCCUGGCCAACAUGAUGAAACUCCAUCUCUACUAAAAAUACAAAAAUUAGCCAGGCAUGGUGGCACGUGCCUGUAACCCCAGCUACUCAGGAGACUGAGGCAGGAGAAUAACUUGAACCCAGGAGGUGAAUGUUGUAGUGAGCUGAGAUCAUACCACUGCACUCCAGCCUGGGAGACAGAGCCAGACCCUUUAUCAAAAAAAAAAGAAAGGAAGGAAGGAAUUGUCUUACUUAAACUUUUUGAUGUGCUAAGUGACAUAACAUAAUAUAAAUAUAUUAGCUAAUUUAAUCUUCACCACAGUCCUAUGAAAUGAAUGUUAUGAUGCCCAUUUUGCAGAUGAGGAACUGAGUGUCAGAGAAGAAUCUCUUGGUUUUAAAAUGUAUAAAGUAGCCACAUGCAUGGACUCAGCAACAUAGAGGAAAAUAAGAAAAAAAAAAUCUAGAAAAUAGUCAAAAGUCAGAAUCACGUCUCUGUGACUUCAUUCCUUUUAUGUCAAAUGAGAACAGCAAUAGCACCUAUCUCACAGGGUGUCACAAAAACUAAAUGAGUUGAUACAUGUGGCAUGCUUGGAAGAGUGUCUGGCCCUUAGGAAGCAAGCAGUAGGCACUAGCAAUUUCAUUACUUCAUUUCACGGAAUCUACCUAUCCAUUAAUGGGAAGAAAUUUCAUUAUUUGGGAACCACUAAGAAAGAAAGAAAAAAAAAUGCUGCCAAUUAAACUAUAACCUAAGACUGUCUUAUCACUUAGAAUUUUUAUACUAUAUUUAUUGGAAGAACGGUUUUGGCUUCAUUAAUCAUGGAUUUUUAUCAUAAAUUACUUUUGUGCAUACAUAAAAAGAAAAAGUAAGAGAAAUAAAUUGGUUAAGGUACUCCUGAAAUUUCUCUAAAAUUCAGUCUGAAUCUUCAUCCCUUUUUUUUGUUUUUUGAGACGGAGUUUCGCUCUUGUUACCCAGGCUGGAGUGCAAUGGAGCGAUCUCGGCUCACCACAACCUCCGCCUCCUGGGUUCAGGCAAUUCUCCCACCUCAGCCUCCUGAGUAGCUGGGAUUACAGGCACGCACCACCGUGCCCAGCUAAUUUUUUGUAUUUUUAGUAGAGACGGGGUUUCACCAUGUUGACCAGGAUGGUCUCAAUCUCUUGACCUCGUGAUCCACCCGCCUCGGCCUCCCAAAGUGCUGGGAUUACAGGCGUGAGCCACCGCACCCGGCCUCUUCAUCACUUUUUCACUGAGUCCCUAAUAUCCAGCUUCUACACAAAAACAAUCUCCGUGCCAUGAAAAGUGCUAAUGAUUUUGAUAAUAUUUUAUAAAAUUCAUCAUAUCAAAAACCAACUUUACUUUGGGUCUUCUUAACAUCGUUCUGCAAUUAUGUAUAGUUAGUCUUCUUUGACUCACUCUAAAAAGAGUGCCAACAAUCUGAACAACUGGUUUCUCGUGGUUAAAAAGCAUAAUCCACUUCUGUCUCUAGGAUUUUCUUCCAAGCUGUUGACAUCCAUUCAACAAGUUUUGAUGCUGACAUCUUGAAUGCAUGUACCGGUCAUGCCAAUCACUUCACAACUGCUGCCUCUUUGAGAGUUAAUAUAAAAUGCCAUCAAUUAAAAGAUGCAUCCCAGUUUCAGAGAUUUGAAGAUAUGAGAGUUGUGCACCUUACAGAUGAUGAAAUAAAGUAGUCAUACUCUUCAUAUGAGUUGUUCUCUUACUCUUAUAGGUUUGUCUCCAAAGACCAUGGCCUUAGAGUAAAACCAACAGCCGAUGCCAGUAGCACAGAGUAUUGAUCAAAUAGACGAGAACUGAAUACAAAUUGAGAUACACUUCACUCUUACUGAGAAAUUUACAAAGUUAAAGGAAAGAGACAUCAAAAAGUUCCAUUGGAAAAGCACCUUGUUUUAUCGAUUAGAGAAAAUAAACACAGAGGUGCCUAUGCAAGCAGCCAUAAGAUAUUUUUUUCUUCUUUUUAGAAUGAAUCAGAAGCUUGCAGUGCAAAAACAUUGAAAUUUCCACGACCUUCCCUUUCCCACUAUAAGCAAGAGCCCUGAUGUUGGUAUUUUUAACAAGCUCCUCCAGGGAUUCUGAGGCAUAACCUUUAUAGGGUGAAUAGACUGCCAGUAGAGUCUAUAUUCAGUUAGCAGAGUUCAGACAGGAGGAACCUGGGGGGAUAUCACAGGAUGCAUGAGUGUAAACAGGUGGUCUAUCAAAUGCUACAUUUGCCAGUAACUUUGCAGAAUUCAAAAACAUCUCAGUAGGUCUUCAAAAGUUUUAUAAUUACCUAUGUCAGCCAAGAAGAUUUAAAGAACUAGAACAUACCCUACCAAGAGUUGUCAUAAGAGAUCUUGUCUUCUUUUAAUCCUGAAAUAGCUCUUCUAAAGACAUUUUCCAAACGUCAAGACACCUUUGUUAAUUGCUGCUACACUUUAUUAAUUUAGUUCAUCAAUCAGUUAAUCAGUCAACAAAUAUAAUUAAUUCCUUCUCUUUGCCAGGCACUUUAAUAAGUGCUGCCAAAAAAAAAAAAAAAUGACUAUUUGACCCUUCUCUUCCAAGAAAUCAGAGUCCAGUGGAGGCAGAUAAAUAAGGUAAUGAUUUAAAAAAGAGUGUGACAUGUAGUUUAGUUUAAAGAAACAGAAGAAAGAGUAGCUGGACCCCAACUUAAAAACCGGAAUAGGUGUGUCUUGGAGAAAAUAAUACUUCCUGUAGUUAAUAACAGCCACGUUCUUCCUGGAAGUUCCCCGUCCACUUUUUCUCCCUCUUUCUUUAGGUAAUCAGAGUACAAGACAAGGGGGUAUGAUGUCUGUGGCAGAGACCUCUGUCAUUUUCUUCAUUCAUCUUGAUGAGUAACUAUUAUUCAAAAUUCACUGCAGUUUAAAUUUCUGAAGCCAAGGAAAGUCAGAAGGAACCAAUAUCUGGUUACCUUUGGUUAUCUUGCCUUCCCAAAGGGAAAAACUCUAGCUCUUCAAUUUCAGUAAAUAUAGAAAGAAAAAUAGACUUCUCCUCUUGAGACAUUUAUUUAACCAAAAAUAUUUGGAAGAUGGUGUUACCUUGCUGCUUUGAGAGGAAAUGCUUGGAAUAAAUUUUAUUGUCGUAUCUGGCAUGAUAUAAUAAAAUUGAACAGCAGCUAGAAAGCUAAGGAACUCUAGUUGAAGGGGGUACAGAAAAUUUUUCUACGAUUUUAUAACUUUUUAAAGCCUGAAAUUAUUUCAGAAUUAAAUUUUUUUUAAUGCCAAAGAAAGAGAUAAAAGAAGAUAGAGGAAGAAGGAAGCAGGAUUUCACCAGGGUAGGAAGAGCAAAAGAAAGUAAUGGAAGAGGAAAUGUUAGGUAAAGGUACAGGGAGACACAAACCCAUAUGGUAUAUCUGAGUAACUACAAGUAGUCCAAAAGGCUGGAAUAUGAGAUAUCUGAGUCAGAGGGGACAGGAAAGAGACUAGACAAAUGUGGAACAAAGGAGGCCAUAUCAUAAAGGAACUUGUACACCAUAUCAAGGUUUUUUGCUUGCAUGUUAUAGGGUUUCCAGCCCCACUGAAGGGUUUGGAACAUGAAAGUGACUUGAUUACAUUUGCAUUUUACAAAGGUCAUAGGUGUCAAUAUGAAGAAUGGACUAGAGAAAGGUGAAGCCAAAGAUGAGAAAACCAAUAAAAAGGCAAUUUAAACAGUCCAAUAAAAGACUAUAUAGAAAGAGAAAAUCAUAAACCCACCCAAACUUUGAUUUGAACUUGAUUAAAAUUGCAGUUGAAGCCACAAAGCACGUAACAGAAUGACAUUUUAUGAGAACUCUCAACAGGAGGUAAAGUUGUUGGGAUGAGAGUCUUUGAGACUGCAAAGCAUGAGGCUGGAUAUCUAUGCUCCAUUAUAAGAAUAUGGACGAAGCUAAGAAAUAUUUGCAAGCUCAUUUCCAAAACAGAAUGAUGAACAAAGAAUUAGUCAGGCAUAUUGACAAGUUAAACCUAUAGUACUUCAUAUAUUAUUGUUAUAAACUUGAGACACUUCCCAGUUAGCUGAA